CGCCAUCCACCGAAUCCCAGGACGAUUGAGAAAACAGAGAGUCUCGGUCGGAGGACUUAAAAACACCGAACGCCUUGCCAAGAGGUAAACUUGGUAGUUAUUCUUUUCCUUUCAAUUAUUUAAACUAGUUUGCUUAGUUAAUCAGGUUCAUGCUAUCUUGAAAAGAAAACAAAAAUGUUAAAAAUAGUAAGCCCCAUGUGAGAAUGCUCAUGGCAUAAAACCCAUAAGUACAUUCACUGUGGUGGCGUAAAAAUAAAUAUAUAUAUUCCUGUCCUAUAAAAAUAAAAAUAUAAAAAUAAAUUUAUGAUCCUACUAAAGAGAGUAACAUUUAUUGAGGAGGCUCAACAUGAAAAAGGCUAGAUAUUUAUGCUAACACUUAACUAGUUCCACAAAGCUUUGUUGUCUAUUUGAGCUCCACAGAAUUCAAGGAUCAAAGAAGACUAGCAGACGGAGGACAUCCUAAUCGCUUUCAGAGUGCUGCCGACAUUCAAAUACACCUCCGCCACCUGCUAGCUACAUCAGAAGAAAAUUCGUCAAAAUCCAGCUUGGGGGAGAGCACCCCCAUUUAUCCAGCUAAGUGUUCUACUCAUCUUUAUACUUUACUCAAAUAAUAAAAAUAUGCAUAAUCAUAAAAACCCAAAUAAAGAUUUUGUGCUUAUAUAUAUAUAUAUAUCUUUGCUUAGUUUGCUAAAUAAAUAAAUAAAUAAAUAAAGUUUGCUAUGAACCCUCAUGAUAAGCUCUCACAUGGAAAUGAUGAAUAGUUGCUCUGCCAUGAUUAGUUCUAAAAAUUGAAACCUCUCUUAAGUUUAGGCAUGACUGUUAUUAAUUAAGAUUUGCUCUAAACCUGAACUUGUGGGGAGAGUACUUGAUCUAAAGUCUAAGUCGUUAACGGAUACGAUAUGGGAAGGUUGAGCUGCUGUUUAUCUGUUCCUAGAGAUGCUAGAAUUCUGGAGAAUUUUAUCUUUGAAAAUCUUUAAAUUGUUGCAUGAUGAGUUCCUGUAUGAUGAGAGUUUAAAUUCCUACCACAGCCAUAUAUACAUGCUUGCUAGACUUUGAGCCACACAUUUACUUUUUACUGCUUAUGAGCAUUGAGUGUGGUCAAGCUUUGUAGACCCUUAGGAGCUUGUCAUGUGGUUAAAUCAAGAUUCACUUGCACGUUCACUCAUACAUGCUGCUUCUACUCCGGAAGUACGCAUCCACAUAUAUUCAUCCAUUUCCAUCUCCAGAACCACCCAAAAAUAUUCUACUCCUAAUCCGGGAGAGAAUAGCCAAAAAUAUUCCUGUUUUUCCCCUGUGAAAUAAAUGCUCAAGUUAUCUUGUUACUACCACUUGCUAUAUUAUCUCAUGAGAUGAGUGCUCUAAAAAAAAGAAAAAAAAAUAUAUAUACGAGGAAAAAAAAAGGGGCAAGUGCCCGGAACCUCGAAGAAAAGAAAAAGUGAGACGAGAGGUAAAAAUGGACAAGUGUCCGAUAGUAGAAUUAGGGGUACAAGAUACCCACCAGAGAGAAAAGAAAAAGAAAACAUAGAGCAUCUCAUUCUCCUCAAAAAGUUUCAAAAGAGCAAGAAAGGUAUGUAUCCGUUCAAAAGAGCACAAGUAGAAUUAGACGUUCACCAUUGUUAUCACCAUCAUCACCAUACACCAUUCAUUCGCCACACAUGCACAUCUUGAUUUGACUUAUUGACUUGUUCUUCUGGAUCCAUGGUUUGACUAUACAAUAAAUGUCUUGUAAGUAUGUAUAUUUUAUCUCCCACCUAUGAGCUCCAGAUAUUAAAGCCUUAUUAGAGUAGGGUGAGAGAGAAGACAAUGUCACUAUCCCUUAUACCACAAAUACCACAUAUUUUGAGAGAAGGCAUAUACCAUCACUGCCUUGGUAAGGAUCCAGAAAUACCACAAAAGAGAGAUAUGAGAGAGUCAUACAAAGGAAUCUCUGAGUUUUAUUUGGAAAUCUGCAAAAACUCCAGAGCUAUAGCUGAUCAAGAAUAAGAGACAUGGCACUUGGCUAGACUGUUCUAUCUUUUAACCACUCAAGACAGAAGUGACGGUUACAAGUCCCAUGGUGAAAGGUAAAGUAAGUAAGUUUUAAGUCUUGACAGUUUACUCUAACUCAGAGAUGAGACCUCUUUUAAAAGCAUGUGUACCGUCAAUUUUUAAAGAUAUUGCAACAACUUAUGAUCCAUAGCUGAGUCUAUCCUUGCUCAGGGACGAGCAAGAGGUAAGCUUGGGGGAGUUUGUUGACGGUCCUUAAGUAUCAAAUUUAACUAUCAAAUAAACAAAGAAAAGGAUCCAAAUGAAAUCAACAUCGAGACUUAGGGUUUUAUCUGACAGAAUUCCACGAGUUUUGGUGUUUGUCUAUUUCUGCAGGGGGUUAUCAGGAAAUAAGGAAGAAAGGCCCACACGUCGGGAUUACAUAGAGAUAUCAACGUGCCGCGCAAUUAUCUUACAUCUAGAAGACUCCAGAAGCCAUGGGAAGGAAGCGGAGACUGAACGGAGUCAGGGACAGGGCGCCCGCCCAAGUCCUUAGGGCGCCCGCCCACCUUUUUCAGCCAAUCACGCUCAAUCUCGCGGAUUAUGCUCCACCAACCUAAAGGAUCAAGAAUAACCGUUCAAUCAAUGUCGGUUUGAUCCGACGGCCCAGGUUCACUUGAGGGGACUAUAAAACCAGACCCCCUGGCCCCUAGAGGAGGCAACCCUUGAUCAUUAUUCACUAUUCAUAGACAGAGCAAAAGCUAGGGUUUAGAGAUGAGAGCUCUCCUCUCUUCUCUAAACUAGAGUAGAUCUAGAUAGUAGCGAGAUGGAGAGCGAAGGAGGAUUAGAGGAGAGGCCGGCCUGUCGGUUCUUCCUCCGGUUGUACUUCGCCAUGAUCAAGCUCUAAUCAAGCUUGCUCAUGGGAUGACUCUGGUAAUCUACUUCUAAUUCAUUAUGCAAUUACUAAUCAUGUAUGUUCUCGUUCACAACUCUUUUGAGUACUUCUAAUCUAUAGGACCCUAUAGGUUAGAGUUGUAGUAUAGGUGUAAGCGUGGUGCUUAGACCUAGAUUACUUGUGGAUAUCCUCUGACUAGCUGGAUCGUGUGGUAGGCCGCGUAGGUGACAGUUACGUUGGUCCCCUGUAGUCCACCUCUCGUUAGCAGGACGGGUAGGGUUUAUCGGCCUAUGGAUAAGCAUCCUUUGUGGUGUACUCUUAUCACGUGGUUCGUCCCAGACAUAGACAUACCCCUUUGAAGUAGAGAAACCAUAGUUAUCAUCUCUAUUCUGCUACCAUCGCCCAUAUACUAGAAUUGCUCUACUCUCUAUUCCCAUAUUAUCACUCACUGUUAUCUUACCUUUAAUAUUGUUCUUAUUCGAUUCUACCAUCUUUCCUAUUCACACCUAUUUACUUAUCUUAGUUAAGUUAGAGCGUAGAUCAGUUCUCCCGUUUCCCUGUGGAUGCGAUAAAACCUUUAACCGGGUAAAAGCUUCAACGGUAUUCGUGCGCUUGCGGAUUAUCUGUGUGCGUAUAAAUACCAUAGUACACUCUAGUGCCACGUUGGGGAUGACAACCUAGUAUUCAAGUGGUGUUAGCAAGUGUCAACAGGAACUAGUCAUGGCAGAGCAACUAUUCAUCAUUUCCAUGUGAGAGCUUAUCAUGAGGGUUCAUAGCAAACUUUAUUUAUUUAUUUAGCAAGCUAAGCAAAGAUAUAUAUAUAUAUAUAAGCACAAAAUCUUUAUUUGGGUUUUUAUGAUUAUGCAUCUUUUUAUUAUUUGAGUAAAAUAUAAAUGCGAGUAGAACACUUAGCUGGAUAAAUGGGGUGCUCUCCCCCAAGCUGGAUUUUGAUGUAAUUUCUUCUGAUGUAGCUAGUAGGUGGUGGAGGUGUAUUUGAAUGUCAGCAGCACCCUGACAGUGAUUAGGAUGUCCUCCGUCUGCUUGUCUUCUUUGAUCCUUGAAUUCUCUUGGCAAGGCGUGCGGUGUUUUUAAGUCCUCCGAACGGGACUCUCCGUUUUCUCAAUCAUCCUGGAAUUCGCUGGAUGGCGUAGUCGGUUGUUCCGGCGGCGCGUACUUCUUCUUGUAUGACUAUCUUCUUUCUCCACACCUGCCUCGGUGCACUUCUCCUUCGUACUCUGCCCAUCCGUCCUUGAUGAUUUUCCUCCUCUGGUUGCGGUUGCGUCAUCUUCUUCUUGUCCUGACCUACUUAGAGUCUUCAACUAUAUAGUUAGGGUCAGUAAAAUAGCAGUGUACCUUCUCAGAGGGGAAAUGCAUGUGGACUCCGCCGGUUCUAAUGUAGAUGAUUGCUUUAACGGUGCUGUGGAACAGUCUCCCAAUGGUGAUGGGUGUAUUGUACUCGUCUUCUCCCAUGUCAAUAACCUUAAAAUCAUCUGGAGCUGAAUGUAUGUCGGUUUUAGGGGCAUGGUUCUGAACAGGAGUUGAUAGGUGACUGCGGCCAUUAUGUUGUCGCCUGAUCCGGUGUCGCAAAGCGUCUUUGUUGACGGUCCUUAAUGCUCACAAUUAACUAUCAAUUAAUCAUAGAAAAGGAUCCAAAUGCAACCAACACCUAGACUUAGGGUUUUAUCUGACAGAAUUCCACGAGUUUUGGUGUUUGUCUAUUUCUGCAAGGGGUUAUCAGGAAUUAUGGAAGAAAGGCCCACACGUCGGGUUUACAUAGAGAUAUUAACGUGCCGCGCAAUUUUCUAUCAUCUAGAAGACUCCAGAAGCCACGGGACCGAAGCGGAGGCCGAGAGGACACAGGGACAGGGCGCCCGCCCACCUCUUUCCACCAAUCAGGGUGAAGUUCGGGGAUCAUGCUCCACCGACCUAAUACUUCAAGGAAAACCACACGAUCAAUGUCGGUUUGAUCCGACGGCCCAGAUUCACUUGGAGGGACUAUAAAACCAGACCCCCUGGCCCCUGGAGAUCAUACCUCUUCUACAGAAUAAAAGCUAGGGUUUCAAUUCUUCAUCCAAGUAGAGAGGAUCCCUCUAGUUCUUCUAGUUCUACCUCUAGUUCAUCUAGAUCUAGUUCUAGUUCAUCUAGUUCUAGUUCUAGUUCUUCUAGUUCUAGUUCUAGUUAGUUCUAGUUGUAAUCUAGAAAAUAGGGAGAGAGAAGAGGAGAGCGGAGGAGGAGCCAGAUCUGUCGGAUCUUCCUCAACAUUAUACUUUUGCAGCAUCUGGUUCGUUCUUCAUCGUUCUCCAGGUUCUUCAAUUCAUAAUUCCUGAGUUCUUUAAUUACUUUUAUUUACAUUCAAGUUAUUUAUUGGAUUCCCGCUUGCAUCAAGUGCUCUAGUCUUUAUAACGCUAGAGUAGUAAUUAAUAGAUUAGACGUGGUUUUUAGUCUUGCGAUUACCUGAUAUUGCACCCAAUCCUACGGAUUGUUGUGGUAGCCCUAGGGUAGUGACAGCCCUAACGGUCGACGUAUUCCACCACGUUCGGAUCGGUGUUUGUAGGACCGUAGUCAGACCUUCCUAGCCCCCUUCUCAUCUCUUUCUGAUGUCCCGAUAUAGAUAAUCUUGAAGUAAUUCUUGAUUCUUAGAUCAACUAGAGAACUCUCAGGAAACUUCCUCUCUUCCCACCAAAAAUAAUUAUAUAGUUAUCUUUGGGCGAUCUUGAUUCUUAAUUAGUACACUCACGUUCUCUGUGGAAAAUCGAUACUCUGGAAUACUCCCGGGUGAAGGCUACAUCGGUAUCCGUGCGCUUGCGGAUUUUUCUGUUUGCGUUUAAAAUACCCAACAAGCUUUCUGGCGCCGUUGCCGGGGAACGGUAGCUGCGCUAGUUUCGAACCAAGUCGUCCGUGUAUCUUUUUUCUUUUCCUUUUUUACCACACUCACCUUAUCAUUUUCACCAUACCACAUGGAUUUCACUCUAAGCAUUAAUGAGCAUGGAAUUUAUUUCAUAGCCACUCCAUUUACUCCAUGCUCAUAUGCAACAUCUUCACAAUCCAUUGGUCUCUCCAACAUCACCACAUUCGAGAUCCCCAACCCCCUCAUCCUUUCUAUUUAUAAAAACUUUAACAGGUGGUUGUCGAUGCAUAUGUUUAUAAUAAAUUUUGCAGAUCUUGUUGAGUUGAUCUUGAUAUAGGUCAGCGUAGGAGGGGAAACCACUUCACUGACAUAAAUUGAUGGUUUCCCAAGGACAAGCUUAGUGUCCUAAAACAAGCACUUAUUAGAUCAUAACAUGAAUUAUUUGCAUCAUUACCUUGUGUGUUGAGCGUAUAAGUAUAAUUGUAAAAAAUUCCUUCGGGUAUUCUUGUCACUAACCUUUCCAGGAUUGGAGCAAGAAGAUCGGAUGAAUGACAAGCACAAGGUAUGUACAACCAAUCAUCAUACAACAUUGAAUUAAAUUCAUCCAAACUUGAAUUUUGCAAAAUUCAAGCUUGGGGGAGUACUUUACAUAAAACAUCCUUUGCCAUGUUGCUAUGUUGGUUGUCCCUACCUUUGAGACAUGCUCAAUUUGUUAAAUACUAAUCACACUACUUUAUCUCUACUUGAGUAGAUCUCUAUUAAUGCUCUCAUGGUACCUUUAUUUGCUUUAGUAUAUGUCUAGGUUGGAGUAGUUUCAUUUAUCUCUUAAUUAAGCAUGGUGCUUAGUUUAGGGCUGAUGAUCUUACUUCCAAGGGAGUUUAAAUUAAGCAUGAAGCUUAGGUUAAAAUGCCCUCCUAAAUCAAAUUAGACAUGGUGUCUAGGUUGAUUUUUGAACCGAUAGUAUGCUAUAGUAGAUACUGGAUAUUUUGUUGGACUAACCCCUGCAGGAAAACUUUCAAUAUCGACCUGGGAAGUCCUGAGAUAAACUCACAUUGGAGACAAAGAGAGAGGCACAUGAAGUUUAACAAUUUACACAAGGAAGGCAUAGCUCACAAGUGAUGAUCCAUGGAGUGUGCCACAAACACGAUGCACAACCGAUAAGAAAGGAAAGCUUUCACAAGGUGAUACUGUACCAUCACUCUUCAAGUAAGGUAACAUCUUAAGGUACUUGACUAUCACUUUUAUAAGCUUCUCCUUGGUUCUGGCGUUCACAUGAGUAAAAGAGACAAACAUGUAUGAUUUACAACUCUAGAUUAACCAACCCAAUCGAUUCAACAUGUUUAGUCUUUCCAUCUUUGUGAUCCUACACUCCUAAUCAUAUGAACUAAAAUGUUGCACACUCAAUCUUUAGAAAAUGAUAGUCAUGUAAAGAAAAAAAAACAUUUACUUAGAUAGAUUAUCUUUCCAUAAGGUUAAGUGAUCUGAUCUGACAAAUGUUUUAAAUGCUACACUCAUGAUCUUAUUAUCCUUCAACUUUGUCUUGCUCACUAUGCUUAAGGUUAGAGAAGAACAAAUACACUUUUGGUUCUGUUGGUGUUUUCCACCAACAGGGCCGAUGCACUUGAUCUCUGCCUUGUCUCUAUGAGUAGGUACACUUCGAGCAAAAUAUGAAGGAGUUUUACAACUCCCAGACACCACCAAGUGAAGAACCUAGAUCUACGAGCACAAACACACUGGAGAUACUGGACACUCAAGCAAUCACUGCCCUAAGAUGCUUGAGGACGUAACUACUGGAGUAACCCCGUUGUGGAAGUAAUUACUGACCUUCUGCCGGUCAAGAGAGGCGAUCCAGGACGCCCCGUCAUCCCGAUCUCCAUCGGCAUGGUGGACUUCCCAGAAGCACUCUGCGACUUUGGCUCCAGCGUCAACAUUAUGCCCAGGCUUGCUGUUGACACCGUUUUUGGGCACGUGUAUAGGAUGACGGGAUAAGGUGGCAGUAUGCUGUUUACAGGAUGAGUUGCCGAUGAAGACAGUUGCCGAUGAAGGAGAGGUUGAAUGUGACUAGGUCCGCGGGCAGUAAUGUGUUUAUGCCGAUGGCUAUAAUGGGGGAGUCUGCCGAUGACCAUGGUAAGAAGUCUGCCGAUGACCAUGGUAAGGAGUCUGCCGAUGAUACGGAGGAGGAGUCCGGGAACUGUUGAUCGGUUUAUGGAAGAGUUUUAGUUCGUCACGGGAGAUAAUUUUGUUAUUUCCUUAUUUAUUUAAGUUGUUUUGUGUACGGAUUCCGUGCAAUUUGGAAUUCGAACUCUAGUCGUGUUUAAUUGUAGCUCUUUGAGUAGGGUAUAAAUAUGAACCCUAGGGCCUUGUAAUCUGGGAAUCAAUCAAACACACGUUUUUACUCAUAUUCCAGCAUCUACUUUUCGACGACUUCGUCAUACUUUUUUCUUUUUAUUACGAGUUCUUAGGAAUUCGUCGACUUAAGCUCGGCGUGUUCUCGAGUUCCGCGUGAGUACCUCUUAGCCGUGACAUCCGGGCGCAUCGCUGUUGUCAGGACUAAAGUAUUCGAGUUAUCACCUUUGCCGAUAGCAAGGUCAAAUCGGCUGGCACGCCUUAACGUUUGAAUCGGGUAUUAGCCCUUUGUGUUUGCAGAUCAAUUUUGCAUCAACACAUCUUUUGGCACGCCCAGUGGGACCGAUUCAAGAUCAAGAUCAACAUGUCGAUCUCUGACCUCGAUCAAGAGAACGUCAUCCCCGUGACGGAGGCCAACCUCAAGGAUGAGCAAAAGCAAGCUAUUGCCCAAGCCAUGGAAGAGUUCAAGCAGCAAUGCCUGAGGUCUUUCAGCAUAAACAGGAGCGGCGAAGUGGUCCAGAAAGAUGCACUGCCGGCACCACGGCAGGUCACCUUUGACGCCAAUCCUGGCAAGCUUCAAGAUAUGGUUGACAAUGCCAUCAAUCGAGCGUUGAUCAACCAAGCUGGUGUACUGUCUAAUACGGUUUUCAACGCCGUGGCAAGAACUUUCAAGGAAGGACAAAUCCCGCCAGAUUAUGUGGGGCCCUCCCAUCAUCAGCCAACGGCGCCAGAGGUCACGGCUCCAUCGGCUACCUUGACGAAUGCAAGUGCACAGUCUGCCGUCCCUCCAAGUACAUUGGGGACUACUGGUGUACUAUCUGUGCCGAUGGCAACCAACCCACAGAUUUCAGUUGGGCAGCAUAGACUGACAACAGAUAUGUUGGCAUCGGCCAUGUCAGGGUUAACUCUUCCUCCCAACUGGUGGGGUUAUGGCAUGCUUCCAGAGUUGACGCCGGGAACAUCACAAGUAACUGGCACGAGGGGCAAAACUCCUAUGACAUCGGCACCUCCCAACGCGCCAGUGAACCAGAGUCCUCGGUAUACCACAACUACUACUGCAAGGCCUCACACUGGGAAUCCUCAAGAUUCAAUGUUUCAGAUGCCCAACGCAUCGGCAGAGUCAGUGUUGAUGCAACAGAGGCCUAUGGCCCAGUCGGGGUAUGUCAAUUCAACGAUGGUACCCAAUUAUCCAUCAUCGGCAGCACCUAUGCCGAUGAACGCUAAUAAUGGAUGGCUUGGACAGCAAGCCUUUCCACAAUCGCCCCAGCAGGGUUAUCAGACUACAGGGUUCCAGCAAGGGCAGGUCUAUCCCGGGUUCCAAGGUCAGGGGAUUCCCAGCCAGCCAAUAAAUUUUGGACAGCAACUCGGAGGACAGCCGAUCGGUGGACAGCAGUUUGGUAGUCCGCAGAUUGGAGGACAGGUGACCAAUACAACGUUCCAUGCAGGUCACGUCCCGAACAGACACGUGGAGGUUCGCCACCAAGUGCCAGAUCCGCAGCCGCCUCAUCGGCAAGAUGCCGAUGCGUAUUGGGCCGAUAAGAUUGCUGAAGUAAUGAGGGAACAAUUUGGGAUAAAACCCAAAGUCAACACUUAUUCUUAUCGAACACCGUAUCCUCCAGCGUAUGAUUUGAUCCCGCUUCCACAUCGGUACAAGGUACCGGAUUUUACAAAGUUUUCCGGACAGGACGACACGUCAACCAUGGAGCAUGUCAACAGGUUCAUUAUUCAAUGUGGAGAGGCUGGUAACAGGGACGAAUUGAGGGUUCGUCUAUUUUCAUCAUCAUUGUCUGGAUCGGCCUUUACUUGGUUCAUAUCAUUACCUCCUAACUCAGUAAUUACUUGGGCCGAUCUAGAGAAGCAAUUCCACAAAUACUUCUUCUCGGGGGUUCAUGAGAAGAAGAUCACCGACUUGGUCAAGUUGAGGCAACGUAAUGAUGAGUCGGUUGAGGGAUUUGUGCAGAGGAUACGGGAGGUCAAGAAUAAAUGCUAUAGCCUGGUUCUGGAUGAUCGGCAGCUAGCCGAUUUAGCAUUUCAGGGUUUGUUGCCACAUAUUAGGGACAAGUAUGCCUCUCAAGAGUUCGAAAGUUUAAGUCAUUUGGUGCAAAGGAUAUCUGAUCAAGACAUCAAGCCUUUCGAGCCUAAGAGGGCAUGGAAUAAGAAAGUGUUAUUUGUUGAUGAAGCAACAAGCUCAGAUUCCGAUGAGGAACCAGUAGUCGGUUUGGCAGAGUGGGUAAAAAACAAGAAGCCGAUGUCUUGUCCUUUUGGGCAGAAGGAACCAGAGAAGUUUGCCUUUGACACCGCCAAGGCCGAUAGGAUAUUUGACUUUCUACUUCAGGAAGGUCAAAUCAAACUGUCCCCUAACCAUGUGAUCCCAUCGGCAGAAGAGUUGAAGAGGAUGAGAUAUUGCAAGUGGCAUAAUGCAACUUCCCAUGACACCAACGAGUGCAAAGUAUUCAGACAGCAGCUGCAAUCGGCUAUAGAAUCCGGGAGAAUCAAGUUUGAUAGUUCCAAAGCCCAGAAGCCGAUGAAGAUAGACCAACAUCCUUUCCCGACAAACAUGUUGGAUGCUAAGGGGAAGGCUAAGGUCUUAACGUCGGAGAUAGCUGAGAAGAGUGCAUCGGUAGAUCCUCAGCAUCAAGUUACUACUGCCGAUGCAAGAAGUAAGGGCUUGGUCUAGGAAGGAACUAGCUCAGGAAGACCUCCUCGAUCUGGUAUCGUCAUAACUCAUAGAAGGCCUCGGAAAAAUUGGCAACAAUGGGAAGAUCGGUAUCGGCGCCAGCAGGAGGAUUAUCGACGGGAAGAAGAAAGACGCCGACAGGAGUGGAAUCGGCACAGGGAUCAUUGGAAUUGUCCAUUCUUCAUCCAUUGUUGGGAGGAAAAUAUUAAGCUUCCUACUGUCAGAGACUGCCCUGAGUGCAAUGGUUAUGAUCGGUACGAUAGGACCGAUCGGCAUUAUCAUGAUGAUGAACGGCGAUUUGAUGGGCCGAUCAGAGGAAGGGUGUCAGUUCAUGACCGGCUGGGGGGCAGAUUUAGUGGGCACGACAGACUUAGUUACCGUGUCCAGUAUUUUCCCAGGGACCAAGAAGAGCUCGAGGAAAUGGCUGAUGUGCGGGUUCCCGAUGAAUUCAUAUUUUGCAGGGAUGCUAACACGCAUCAUAUGGAGUCAAGGGAGAACCGACGCCCUACGGCAAGGCAAAGACCACUUCCUCCAUGGUGCCCUGGAGGAUUGACCAAAACGCAGAAAAGGAGAUUGCAACGUGAAAGGCAAGAGGAACUAAACAAGGGAGGGAACUCUGGAAGUCGGCAGCCGUCAGACACUAAGAGGGAAGGUCCAUCGGCAGGUGUCAACAUGGUCUUCAUGUUGCCGAUGGAGUUUCUUGCACCAGCCAGUGAUGAUGAGUUGGAAUUUUCUGAUCAGAUAGCUCAGUUGGCUCUGGAUCCGAUGACGGCUAUCUUUGAGAAACCUGCCGAUGACGAGAGGCAGCAUCUUAAAGCUCUGUUCCUCAAAGGAAGGGUUGAUGGGCAGCCGAUGACUAAGAUCCUAGUUGAUGGUGGAGCUGCUAUUAAUAUUAUGCCGUAUGCGGUAUAUCGGAAGCUUGGGAAAGGGGAUCAAGAUUUGACCAAGACCGAUAUGAUGCUCAAAGACUUUGAAGGAAACGUGUCUCCAGUCAAGGGGGCGAUAUGUGCAGAGUUGACCAUCGGCAGCAAAACCUUGCCAACAACUUUUUUCGUGAUCAGCGGAAAAGGUGCCUAUAAUUUACUAUUGGGGAGAGAUUGGAUUCAUGCCAAUUGUUGUGUCCCAUCGACAAUGCAUCAGUGCUUGGUUCAGUGGGUAGGUGACAAGAUUGAGAUCGUCCCAGGGGAUUCUUCUUAUGUUAUCGCAUCGGCAGAAGCGGAUACUUAUGAAAGGACUAGGUGCAUUUCAGGAGAAGUUUGGGAGAAAGAUUUUCUCAAAGUUGCCGAUUAUGAGAUUCCACCGAUCCAAGCAGUCGGUUCUGACGACGGUUUUUAAUGGAUAGAUUCGCCGAUGAUGGAAAAUUAGGUCAGGGAUUCACAUCGGCCGAUGAUUUGGUAGAAGUAGAUAUCGGUAGUGGUGAUAAGCCUAGGCCUACCUUUAUUAGUGCUAAAUUAGAUCCCGAGUGUAAGCAACAAUUGACUAGUUUGUUAAAGGAAUAUAAAGAUUGCUUUGCUUGGGAUUAUACCGAGAUGCCUGGUUUAGACCGAUCAAUUGUUGAACAUCGGUUGCCCAUCAAGUCUGGAUUUCGGCCACAUCAGCAACCAGCCCGCCGAUGUAAUCCUAACAUUCUACCUGAUAUUAAGGCCGAAAUCACUAAACUUAUUGAAGCUAAGUUUAUUCGGCAGUGUCGGUAUGCCGAAUGGAUUUCCAAUGUCGUUCCGGUUUACAAGAAAAACGGGAAGCUUCGGGUGUGCAUUGAUUUCAGGAAUCUCAAUAAAGCUACACCGAUGGAUGGAUACCCAAUGCCUGUCGCCGAUCUACUGGUUGAUGCUGCAGCCGGCCAUCGGGUCAUCAGCUUCAUGGAUGGUAAUGCAGGUUACAAUCAAAUAUUCAUGGCAGAGGAGGAUAUUCCAAAAACCGCAUUCAGGUGUCCUGGUCAUGUUGGGCUAUUUGAAUGGAUAGUUAUGACUUUUGGGUUAAAGAAUGCUGGCGCUACUUAUCAAAGGGCUAUGAAUUUUAUAUUUCAUGAGUUCAUCGGCAAGAUCGUAGAGAUUUAUAUUGAUGAUGUGGUGGUUAAGUCUGGAGAUUUCUCAAAACAUCUUACCGAUUUACGAAAAGUGUUGGAGUGCACAAGGAAGCAUGGAUUGAAGAUGAAUCCCAACAAGUGUGCAUUUGGCGUAUCGGCAGGGCAGUUUCUUGGUUUCAUGGUACAUCAGAGGGGUAUUGAAAUUAGUCGAAGAUCUAUUGAUGCCAUCAAUAAAAUAGUGGCCCCUACCAAUAAAACCGAGCUCCAAUCCUUGAUCGGCAAGGUAAAUUUAUCAGAAGAUUUAUAUCGAAUUUAUCUGGGAGGAUUCGUGCGUUCAGUCCUCUUCUUAAAUUGAAAGCCGAUCAAGAAUUUAUUUGGGGAGAAGAACAGCAGUUGGCUCUGGAUGAAAUCAAGAAAUAUCUAGUAAAUCCUCCAGUUCUAGUUCCACCUCAACAAGGGAAGCCCUUCAGAUUGUAUUUAUCUACCGAUGGAUCGGUUAUCGGUUCAGCUUUAGUUCAAGAAUUUGAAGGGAAAGAGAGGGUAAUUUAUUAUUUGAGUAGGAGGUUGAUUGAUGCUGAAACCAGGUAUUCGGCCAUUGAGAAACUGUGCUUAUGCUUAUAUUUUUCAUGCGUCAAGUUGAGACAUUACCUGUUAUCGGCCGAAUGCGCUGUUGUUUGCAAAGAUGACGUGGUUCGAUACAUGUUGUCUAUGCCGAUUAUGAGUGGUAGGAUCGGUAAAUGGAUUUUAGCGCUGUCGGAGUUCGAUUUGCGUUACGAAUCGGCUAAGGCAGUCAAAGGGCAGAUUAUGGCCGAUUUUGUGACUCAACAUUGCGGUCCAGUGGAAACCUUGGAAAUUGUGCCCUGGACGUUCUUCUUUGAUGGGUCUACCUGUGACCGGGGGGCAGGAAUCGGCAUUGUAUUGGUUUCCCCUAAGGGGAGGAAGUAUGAGUUUUCCUUGCCGAUUGUUGCCACUUCAACAAAUAAUCAGGCUGAGUAUCAAGCUCUGAUCAAGGGAUUGGAGUUGUUAAGAGAAGUUCGUGCUGAUGCUGUUGAAAUAUUCGGGGAUUCUAUGUUGGUUAUAAAUCAAUUGGCCGGAAGAUAUGAAUGCCGAAGUGAAGCUCUCAUGACUUAUUUCGAGAGAAGUAUGCAACUUUUAAAGGAAUUCAAGGAUUUCCGAUUGGAGCAUGUUCCCCGAUUACAUAAUGAAGACGCUAAUCGGUUAGCUCAGCAUGCUUCGGGAUACCAGCCAACGAUUAAUGCGACAUCGGCAGUCGGUGCCGGUGAUUGGAGGAAAGAAAUUAUUGAUUAUCUAAAAGAUCCAUCCAAAAAAGUUGAAAGACGGGUUCGAUUUCAAGCAACCAAGUAUGUGCUCCUUGAAAAUGAAUUGUAUUAUCGAACUAUUGACGGAAUUCUUCUCCGAUGCUUGGGUGACGAUGAAGCUAGAAGUUUGAUGGGGGAAAUCCAUGAAGGAGUGUGUGGAGCGCAUCAGUCGGCUUUUAAGAUGAAGUGGAUGAUUCGGAGGAAUGGAUAUUUUUGGCCGACCAUACUCGAGGAUUGCUUUAAGUAUUUCAAAGGAUGUCAAGGUUGUCAAAAGUUUGGAAACAUUCAAAGAGCACCCGCAUCGGCUAUGAAUCCCAUCAUAAAGCCUUGGCCGUUCCGGGGAUGGGCUAUCGAUCUGAUCGGCCAGAUUUAUCCACCAUCUAGCAAAGGGCAUAAGUUUAUUCUAGUUGCCACUGAUUAUUUCACUAAGUGGGUUGAAGCCAUUCCUCUGAAAAAAGUCACAUCGGCCAAUAUGAUUGAUUUUGUAAAGGAGCAUAUUAUUUACCGAUUUGGGAUCCCUCAAACGAUUACUACCGAUCAGGGCACUAUGUUCACGUCGGGGGAGUUCGAUGAAUUCGCAAUCGGUAUGGGAAUUAAAGUGUUGAAUUCUUCUCCUUACUAUGCUCAAGCCAAUGGGCAGGCCGAAGCGUCUAACAAAGGAAUUAUCAAGCUUAUUAAACGAAAGAUUGAAGAAAAUCCUAGGCGGUGGCAUACGUUAUUAAAUGAAGCAUUGUGGUCUUAUCGGAUGGCUUGUCAUGGAUCAACCAAGGUGUCACCUUAUCAAUUGGUGUAUGGACAUGAUGCGGUGUUGCCUUGGGAAAUUAAGGCUGGAUCUAGGCGAUUAUCUUUUCAAGACCAAUUAACUACCGAUGAUUAUGCCACUUUGAUGACCGAUGAAUUAGAUGAUCUAGCAGGGCAUCGGUUAAAGGCUUUAAUGAGUAUAGAGGAAAAUAAGAGGAGAGUUGCUAGAUGGUAUGAUAAGAAAGUAAAGACUAAGGAGUUUGCCGAUGGGGAUUUAGUAUGGAAGUUGAUUUUGCCAGUCGGGACUAAAAGUUCGAAGUUUGGGAAGUGGUCUCCUAAUUGGGAAGGUCCUUAUCGGAUAAGACACUCGGCUCCUGGUAAUGCCUAUAUUCUAGAAACUCUCGAAGGAGUUGAAUUUCCCAGAGCAUUAAAUGGCAAAUAUUUAAAGAAGUACUACCCCAGCAUAUGGGUCGAUGCAUGAAAGUUUAAGUGCCGAUAACACUCCUAUCGGCUGGAUUUAAAUGUUUGGGGGCAGACUUAAUGGUUCAAAAGAUACCGAUAACAGUCUUAUCGGCUAGACUAAAAGCUAAAGGCGGGAAAACAAAGGUGUGUUGCCGAUGAAAGCUUCAGACGUUCAGCAACGCUUGGAUUGUCGAUAUGGCGCGCAGCCGGAUCUGAUUGGCUGUCUCUAUCUCGUUGAUAUCAUCAUCGGCAGAACCUUCUAUCGGCUUCAGCUUCCUCUUCAACUGCAGCGCUUUGCGACCAUGGACGUUUCGUUCUUGUUCAAGGUGCUUGAUGGUCUCCGGCAGUUGACUCUCUUCUUGCUGGGCCUGGGACAGAGCAUCCUCUACUUGCUUGAGUUCGACCAGCAAAGCUUCUCUUUUUGCCGAUAGAUCGGACACUUUCUGCUUCAGUGCAUCACCUGAGGACUUUAAGGUGCCGAUGUUCUUAUGUUUCUCAUCGGCUAAGAGUUUUUCUUUCAUCAUCUCCUCAGAAAGCUGGAUUUGAGCGGUUCUAUCGGCAAGGCGUCGAGUGGCUCUCUGGUACUGUAGCUGGCGGCUUUCUAGGUGUGCAGCGUGGAAGAGGGUUUCUUCAGCAUCGGCAGGAAUUUGGCCUCUGAGGGUUUUGAACAGAGCCUUGGCUGGGUCAGAAUCGUUGACCAGUUGAGCUGUGUCUUGAUGAAGUAUAGCCGAUAGCUCCUCCAGCUUAGCCUUGGUUUCUGCCGAUACAGUCCCAAUUGCCCGAGAGGAGCUUGCUUCCUCACCCUCUUCUUCGAAGAUAUCAAUGGCGAAGGAGAAUAAGCUAUCGGGAGAAUCUUGUUCCUAAAAAUGAGAAUGAAAUAAGUCAUUUUUAUGGUCAAAGCUUCGGCAGAUGAUAUUGGUGGAAAAGUUGGAUGACUUACUUGUUUCAAGGCAAUUUCUUGCCUUUGACUCAAAGAUAUCGAUGGAGCCACAGGUUGAUCGGCAAAUGUUGCCGAUGGAACGACAUCGACUGAAAGAAGACAGGAAGAGUUAUGAGACUAAAUGAAAAUGGGUUUAUCGGCGGAAGUAUUGUUGAAAUAUGUUACCCGGAGGAGAAACGACAGUUGUCUGAAUCGGGGAAACCGCCGAUGAUAUAACUGGGCCUGCCGGGCCAGUUGUUUGUUCACCUACGUCAGCUGAUGUACCUUCUGUUUGAGGUUCUUCCUGCUGGGGUUCUUCCAUCUGUGGUGCUCCCUGCAUUGGUUGGGGAGAUGGUGCUUGCUGUGUCUGGACUUCUGGAGAAGAAGGGGAAGAUUCCACCGGGAUCGGAGACACCGGAGGAGGAGGAGGAGUUGCCACUUUCUGGCGCUUUGUUCCAGCCUUAGCACUUUGGGUGCCCUUCCUCUUUGGCUGGCUAGAUUUGGAGGCAUCGGUGCCUUGGCGUUUGGCUUUUGUCGAUGCACCAGUUUGCUGCAACGACAAAAAGGGGUUUAUGAGCGCAGAUAGUCGAUACAAAGAUAGUCAGCAUAAAUGAAAAGGGUUUAGCAAAUUACCUUAAAAGCUUGCGCCAGAGUGGAAGCAGCUACCGUUGGCGAUGUCUGAGGUUUUCUGGUGGUAACUUUCUUGAGGCGCGCACCCCGAUGCACGAUGGAAGCCAGAGUGGGAGCAUUGUGGCCGAUUGAGGAGAUCGGACCUGAUGGGAACAGGUCGAUCGGUUUGCCACUCCUGCUAACCGAUGGAGGGGUGUUGUCGACCUACAAAAGGAAUACAGGGAUAAGUUACCGAUGGAAAUAGUAUUAGAAAAUGAGACAUCAGUUUAAAAUACUUACAGUGUCAUCAGGGACUUCGUAUUUGGGGUCGAUCAUGCCGCGGUAUGAGAGGACCGAUCUGCAGAAUAGACUCUCUUUCCAUUCUGCCCACCAUAGCUUGUAUGCCUGAGUGAUAAAGGCAGCUGGAACCCAUUCUGACAGAUCUACAUCUGUAUCGGCAUUUGAUGGUAGCUGGGCUACUCGAAUCCACUCGAGAAGGUUGGUGAUGGGUUCUCUGGGCUUUAUCACAUCGGCAUAAGGAAGUGCAAUCGGCAACUGGCCGAAAGCUAGUUGACGAGCUAAUGCCGAUGGAUUGUAAAAUUCAUAGGUUUGGGGAGAGGUUUUUGUGCUACCAAAGAAAUUCACUGGUAUGGCCCUGGGAGUCACAAUUGCCAUCAUCACCUCAUUAUCCCUAUCGAGAGCUUCAUCAAAUGGAUUGAAGGUUAGAGGGAGCAUGCUGUCUGGGUCAUCAUAGGCCAACCAUGGUCGUUCAUCUCUGGCCAAUCCCUCAUACAAAGUCUCGAAGAAUCGGCCGAUCUGAUCCGGAUUGUUCCCUGAACCGGGUAAGACUAUAACGGCUUCGCCAAAGUUUAAGGGGGCACGCGUUGCCGAUUCUUCUUCACCCAACACAUGAUUUUCAGCUAUAUCUCUUGGGAAGUGCUGUGAGAACAAGUUGAAAUCAAGGCGCUUAUGCAGGUGCAGAUUGAGCCACAUAUUAAUGAACCACCAGGGGCCUCCCAAGUUGCCGAUGGAUUGGCCAAGCAGGAGUUUCUGGGCUACCUGAUGAAGAAGGUGGUAAACUGCGCUGAGCAAAUAUCGGCCGAGGGGAAAUUGGCCACCGCUAGCCAGUCUUUCUGCUGCCGACAGAUAGACAGAAGUUGGUCCUGCCGAUCGACCACAGAAUACGAACUUGUCCAGCCACAUGUUCAGAAAGGUGGUUUGCUCUUUUAUGGUGACAGGCCCUUUCCCGCGGUACUUCUGAAUGUACCCUGACCAACCGCCGAUAGCGCGAGUCUCCACUUUGGCACUGGGGCAGUAUCAAAAAAGUGGGUGCUAUCGGCGGAAGAUAUGUCUAGUCCAGUGAGCAUGGCUACAUCGGCAAGGGUAGGAGAAGCAGGGCCGUGGCCAAAAACAAAAGCAUUGAGGGUAUCUGACCAAAAAUAAGACGCAGCUAUCAACAGCGACUCGUUCUUGUGCAUAUCGGCAAUGGAUAGCCUGAUGCAUUGGGCUAGCUUCCUUUCACCCCACUGGACUUCAUUCGAAUUACUGACUCUUAAGAACCAGUCUUUCCACCCUACAGUAGGGCUGGGCCAAGAGCGAAAGGUGUCUUUCCACAGAUCUAAAGAGAAGUUUUCGGCCCUAAAAGGAAUCCUGUUGGUUUCUGCAUUAAUAAGGUCGGUUGGAUCUGGAUUCCCUAGAGGGCCGAGGCACUGAAGGUGUGGUUGAUCGGUAGGAAUGACAAUUUUGUUGGACAACUCCUAGUGUUUUGGGGAAUAAAAUACAAAGAAAAAGGGAAAAGGAAGAUAUUCAGUAAAAUGAAUCGCAGAUGAACAGGAAUGCGAGAAAAGGUACAGGAGAUGAGAUGGAAAUCUGACCUCAGGGACAACGAAGCCAAUGGCCAUCUUGUCGUGAAGAGGACGUUGGAGGGCACCGGAGUCGAUGAAGAGGAAUGCUUGUCGAAGAUCUUGAGGGUUGUAAAUGGCGCCGCCGCUGGAAAAGCAAAGUUGGACGGUAGAAUGGUGUAAUGGGGGAGGAGUACCCAAGAAGGAACUAUUUAUAGGACAAAAUGGGCAAGGGCAAAUCCGACUUAUUUCUCUGCCGCAUCCGAGAAAUCCGAGGGUACUCAGGUGGAUAUGGUAACUGUUCGCACGGUAAUCCAGGGAUUGUGUAGGUGAUUUGACGGGAAGCGGUCAUUAUCUGAAGAUAUUUUACUGUGCAAGAUCUCCUGGUCGGUCCAUCGGCAACAUUCUAUAACGGUCAUAUUGCCGAUGGGCGAAUAGAGGGGAAAUGACCGUUUGUGCGAAUAUCCUGGUCAAAACAUCGGCAGAUCUUUGUAACGGUAUUGUUGCCGAUGUACGGCUGAGAGAAAUGCCCGUUUAGGAAGUUGGAGAUUUUGAAGAAUCUGCGGAGGAAUAAGAUCAGAGUUGUUCAGAUUGAGGUUGUCGGUUACCAGAUUAGAAGCAUUAAUUGCGGGAAAGGCGUCAUUACUGCAGAGAAUUUCGGAGCAUUAAUAGUUUUAUACUCCGAAACUGGGGGGCAUGUGUUGACACCGUUUUUGGGCACGUGUAUAGGAUGACGGGAUAAGGUGGCAGUAUGCUGUUUACAGGAUGAGUUGCCGAUGAGGACAGUUGCCGAUGAAGGAGAGGUUGAAUGUGACUAGGUCCGCGGGCAGUAAUGUGUUUAUGCCGAUGGCUAUAAUGGGGGAGUUUGCCGAUGACCAUGGUAAGAAGUCUGCCGAUGACCAUGGUAAGGAGUCUGCCGAUGAUACGGAGGAGGAGUCCGGGAACUGUUGAUCGGUUUAUGGAAGAGUUUUAGUUCGUCACGGGAGAUAAUUUUGUUAUUUCCUUAUUUAUUUAAGUUGUUUUGUGUACGGAUUCCGUGCAAUUUGGAAUUCGAACUCUAGUCGUGUUUAAUUGUAGCUCUUUGAGUAGGGUAUAAAUAUGAACCCUAGGGCCUUGUAAUCUGGGAAUCAAUCAAACACACGUUUUUACUCAUAUUCCAGCAUCUACUUUUCGACGACUUCGUCAUACUUUUUUCUUUUUAUUACGAGUUCUUAGGAAUUCGUCGACUUAAGCUCGGCGUGUUCUCGAGUUCCGCGUGAGUACCUCUUAGCCGUGACAUCCGGGCGCAUCGCUGUUGUCAGGACUAAAGUAUUCGAGUUAUCAUCUUUGCCGAUAGCAAGGUCAAAUCGGCUGGCACGCCUUAACGUUUGAAUCGGGUAUUAGCCCUUUGUGUUUGCAGAUCAAUUUUGCAUCAACAACUAUGCAAUAAAUGUCUUGUAAGUAUGUAUUAGCUGUCUCCCACCUAUGAGCUCCAGAUAUCAAAACCUUAUUAGAGUAGGGCGAGAGAGAAGGCAAUGCCACUAUGCUUCAUACUACAAAUACCACAUACUUUGAGAGAAGGCAUACACCUCUACUGCCUUGGUAAGGAUCCAGAAAUACCACAAAAGAGAGACUAGAGAGAGUCAUACAAGGAAUCUCUGAGUUUUAUUUGAAAAUCUGCAAA
RNAcentral lists this long non-coding RNA (20311 nucleotides) under Sorghum bicolor (sorghum). RNAcentral's name for it is "long non-coding RNA (SBIC_LNC010291)". Lineage: Eukaryota; Viridiplantae; Streptophyta; Magnoliopsida; Poales; Poaceae. The record is from RNAcentral.